This 332-nucleotide ribosomal RNA is filed under the name uncultured marine eukaryote. Its description in RNAcentral is "SSU rRNA". It matches the Rfam family "Eukaryotic small subunit ribosomal RNA", at positions 951 to 1283 of the family's 1831-position model. The record is from RNAcentral.
GCAUUUGCCAAGGAUGUUUUCAUUAAUCAAGAACGAAAGUUGGGGCUCGAAGAUGAUUAGAUACCAUCCUAGUCUCAACCAUAAACGCUGCCGACUAGGGAUUGGUGGAUGUUGAUUGAUGACUUCACCAGCACCUUAUGAGAAAUCAAAGUUUUUGGGUUCCGGGGGGAGUAUGGUCGCAAGGCUGAAACUUAAAGGAAUUGACGGAAGGGCACCACCAGGCGUGGAGCCUGCGGCUUAAUUUGACUCAACACGGGGAAACUUACCAGGUCCAGACAUAAGUAUGAUUGACAGAUUGAGAGCUCUUUCUUGAUUCUAUGGGGUGGUGGUGC